Xiphophorus maculatus (southern platyfish) is the source of this 403-nucleotide long non-coding RNA. RefSeq lists it as uncharacterized. The record is from RefSeq and is a predicted model, not a curated record. NCBI's taxonomy places the organism in Eukaryota, Metazoa, Chordata, Actinopteri, Cyprinodontiformes, Poeciliidae. The transcript has 4 exons.
GUUCACAGAGGACAGUGAGGGCGUCUUCAUCUCAGAGAUGUGUGUCUUGAUGAGAGAGUGUGCGCAUGUAUAACCCAGCUUCACCUGAAAGAGAAAGUUUGGUUCGUUUGGGGAAGUGUGAACGUGCGAUCGGACCAAAACAGCGAACUCUGGUUAAUCUACAAACCAACGUCUCCGUUCGGUUGAAGUGAAUUCUGGAGCAAAACAAAAGUAUAUGUGAAUGCCAAGCGGACUGGAGAAGCAGGAAGAGGACUACAAUGCAUUGUAUUCUGGCCAUCUUGGAUCCCAGCUGCAGCAGCAUCGUGGCUGUGUCGUACUGCUUCGCUGCGAGGUGCAGCCGGAUGGUCUCCAGUUUCUCGCGCUGCUCCUCCAGCGGGGGUUCCUGCAGCCGGGGCGAUUUGGG